GCGGUGCGAUGGCGGCGCCGGGCUGUGGGGAGCUGCGGGCGGGCGGGCCGGGCGGUGUCCCGGGGGCUGUACCGCCGCACUCCAGCUGUGUCCCGGGUCCAGGGGGUGUCCCGGGGGCUGUCCCGCCGCACCUCAGCGGUGUUCCGGGUUCGGGAGCUGUCCCGCCGCACCCCGGCGUGUCGCGGCGGCGCGGGCGGACGCUGCUGGUGCGGCACCUGCCCGCCGAGCUGACGGCGGCGGAGAAGGAGGAUCUGCUGCAGCACUUUGGGGCGGUGUCUGUGCGCGUCCUGUCGGACCACGGGCGGCUGAAACAUACUGCUUUUGCCACCUUUCCCAGUGAAAAUGCAGCUGCAAAGGCUUUAUCAAGGCUGCAUCAGCUGAAACUUUUAGGUCACACCUUGGUUGUUGAAUUUGCGAAGGAGCAAGAGAGUGUACAGGUCCUUAGCCAGCCUUCUGUCUCAGAGAAGUGUAAAAGUUCAGAAGACCCAGUGAAAGAAGAAGAGAAGGUAGAACCAAGCUGUGUUAAAAUAGAGAAUGGGAUUGCACCCAACCAUGGCCUCACCUUUCCCAUCAAUUCCUGCCUCAAAUAUUUGUACCCACCACCUUCAAGUGCAAUUCUAGCAAAUAUAGCAAAUGCCUUGGCAAGCGUGCCCAAAUUUUAUGUCCAGGUACUUCAUCUAAUGAAUAAAAUGAAUCUUCCUCCACCCUUUGGACCGAUUACUGCUCGCCCUCCUGUGUAUGAAGAGUAUUUACCAGUGCCUGUGCCACCUCCCCCAAUCCCACCUCUGCCUCCUGAAGAGCCUCCUUUGCCUGAAGAGGAAGAAGAGCAACUAUCUAGUGGGGAUGAAUCGGAAUAUGAAAGUGAUAAUGAUGAGGAAAAGGAGAGAAUGACCAAGUUAAUGGAAUUAGCAACCCUUCAGCCUAAAAGACCAAUAAACACAAAGAGACGCGGUGUUAGAAAAAAGCAAAGAAUUAAAGACUUACUGAAUGUUCCUGUGUGUACUCCCCACAGUAAUUUGCACCCUACACUGUCACCUUCAGAUGUCUUUGAGCAGCCACAUCAUGUAGGUCAUAAAAAAAUAGAAUUUCAUAUUAGUACUGACAUCCCAGCUGUUCUUCAGAUAAACUCAGAAAAAGAAGAAAAAAAUGAUCUUUCUGCAACCACAGAAGAAAUCAAUAAUACAGGCUUUGGAAGGAUUUUCCCAGCUCCUAGCUCAAAUGAUAAAAUGGAAACUGAAGAGGAGGAGGAUGAAAUACCAUCAGAAUUUAUUUCUAGAAAGGAUCUAGAAAAAAACAGACUUUCUAGAGAAGAAAUGGAAAAAUUUUCUGUUUUCAAAAACUAUGAGCCAGGUGAUCCAAAUUGCAGGAUAUAUGUGAAGAAUUUAGCUAAACAAGUCCAGGAAAAGGAUCUCAAGUUCAUUUUUGGAAGAUACGUUGACUUCCAGUCAGAAGUGGAACGAAAUAUGUUUGAUAUACGUUUGAUGAAAGAAGGCCGUAUGAAGGGACAGGCUUUCAUUGGACUUCCUAAUGAAAAAGCAGCUGCUAAAGCGUUAAAAGAAGCAAAUGGAUAUGUCUUAUUUGAAAAACCCAUGGUGGUUCAAUUUGCUCGUUCAGCUAGACCAAAACAGGAUGCCAACGAAGGGAAAAGGAAAAAGUAGAACACUGCACAAGAAACAUUCCUGCGUAAAUACUGCAGUAAUACUGUCAUGCAGAGUGUAUCCUUUCUUGUUGUAUCCUUUUUUUGUGCAAUGUUUCCCGUAGCACUCAACUACAUCUAAGUUUUCAUACAGAGUAGGUGUGGGGAGGAGUUUACAUGUUUAAAGCUUGAGCUAAUCUGGUAAUUUUGAAAAGAAGAAGAUGCUUUUUCAGGGGGAAAAAAGAAAUCAAUGAGUUUUCUGUGUUGUGUGAAUAGACACAUUAAAGGUUCUUAGUCUUAAAAGGUGGCCUCCACCUUUUUCCUCAAAGGUCAUAUACCUUACUAAUUUGUGAUCCCCUUCCUUAGUGAAACAGUUCCAGCUCAAACAAGCUGAUGUAUGUGGAGCUGUGCUGAGCUCACACUGAGGGUGUCACUUUGAUUUUCUUUAAAUAUGAAUACUAUUAUAUUAAUAUGUUGGCUAAAAUAUGUUGCAGAGCAAUUCCUAAUAUUAAGGGGUUGACAGGUAUUUAGAUCAUUUGAUGAUUACUGUUGUCCUGGUAUAUGAGAAACAAUCUGUAGUUGAUUCAGUUUAUACAUUCCUUACUAUGUCUUUUUUGAGUAAAGAAAAAAAUUAAUAAUAACUUGCAAUGAAGUAUUUGAAGUUGAACUAAUACUCAACUAUUAAUCACUGCUACCUUUUUGUUGGUUUUUUUUUUUAGAUUGUUCUCUGCACUGAGGUAGUGUUGUUGCCAGUGACUUAAUUUUCUUGUCCCUUUUGUGUUCCAUCUCUUUCAAGUAUUAUCAAGCUGGGGGAAGAAGCAGUGUAAUCAUCAGGACUCUUGAACUGUGCGUAGUAGCAUUUCUAAAGUAUUUAAGGCAGACUAUAAAUUGGCAGACUAUAAAUUUUCUCGUCUUAAAGAUUUCACAUCUUUAAAGUGUCCCAAGACUUAUAUGAUAAAUGUAUGUUAGUUUGCUUGUGAAAUCUAAUAAAUUAUUUCCUUUCUCUUUG
Molecule: RNA transcript, 2645 nt
Organism: Chiroxiphia lanceolata (lance-tailed manakin)
Lineage: Eukaryota; Metazoa; Chordata; Aves; Passeriformes; Pipridae
Gene: RNPC3
Gene name: RNA binding region (RNP1, RRM) containing 3
Exons: 16
Source: RefSeq, a predicted model, not a curated record